Molecule: transfer RNA, 77 nt
Filed under: Gammaproteobacteria bacterium
Lineage: Bacteria; Pseudomonadati; Pseudomonadota; Gammaproteobacteria
Description: tRNA-Pro
Rfam family: tRNA
About the family: Transfer RNA (tRNA) molecules are approximately 80 nucleotides in length. Their secondary structure includes four short double-helical elements and three loops (D, anti-codon, and T loops). Further hydrogen bonds mediate the characteristic L-shaped molecular structure. tRNAs have two regions of fundamental functional importance: the anti-codon, which is responsible for specific mRNA codon recognition, and the 3' end, to which the tRNAs corresponding amino acid is attached (by aminoacyl-tRNA synthetases). tRNAs cope with the degeneracy of the genetic code in two manners: having more than one tRNA (with a specific anti-codon) for a particular amino acid; and 'wobble' base-pairing, i.e. permitting non-standard base-pairing at the 3rd anti-codon position.
Source: RNAcentral
CGGGGUAUAGCGCAGCCUGGUAGCGCACCUGCUUUGGGAGCAGGGGGUCGUGGGUUCGAAUCCCUCUGCCCCGACCA